Long non-coding RNA from Bradysia coprophila, 153 nucleotides. Lineage: Eukaryota; Metazoa; Arthropoda; Insecta; Diptera; Sciaridae. The record is from RefSeq and is a predicted model, not a curated record.
AAAAACACACCUGUUGUCUAUUUUCUUUAAAUAUUUUGUUAACCAUUAUUGUAUGAAAAACAAUAGCCAACUUUGAUGGUUUCAGCUCUCUAUUUGAAUGACUUCAAAGUCAGCUUCAGUGCUAGACAGUGCUAUCCAUGGAUACAUCAUCAA